GCCCGGUGACCUCGUUUAACGGCCGCGACUAAGUGCUAAGGCAGCAUAAUAAUUUGUCUUUUUAUUGGAGACUAGAAUGAAAGAAGAUAACGAGGCUUAACUGUCUCCAAGCAACCUAUUAAAAUUGAUUUAAGAGUGAAAAAUCUCGUAUACUAGGGAAGGACGAAAAGACCCUGUAGAGUUUGUAGUGAAAUUAAUAAAUUAAUUAAUUCACUUUUAUUGGGGCAAUAAAAGAUCAAAUUUAAACUCUUUUAAAAGGUUUUUGACAUAUCAAAAAAAAAGAUCCUCAAAGAGAAAAAAGAAAAACUACCUCAGGGAUAACAGCGUAAUUCUUCCAGAGAGAUCUAAUUGAAGGAAUGAGUUUGCGACCUCGAUGUUGGACUAAGGUAACUUUUAAAUGCAGAAGUUUAUUAAAGUAAGCCUGUUCGGCUUUUAAAACCUUACGUGAUCUGAGUUCAAACCGGAUCCCCG
This 471-nucleotide ribosomal RNA is filed under the name Bugula neritina. RNAcentral describes it as "partial 16S ribosomal RNA". It matches the Rfam family "Bacterial large subunit ribosomal RNA", at positions 1861 to 2629 of the family's 2925-position model. The record is from RNAcentral. Lineage: Eukaryota; Metazoa; Bryozoa; Gymnolaemata; Cheilostomatida; Bugulidae.